GUGCUCGGGAUCAGGGCAAAACAUGCACUGGGAAUGCUGGAAUCUCAACGGUUAUGAUUCAGAAAAAGAAAGAACGUUGGACGAUAUGAAUUUCCUAAAGGCACAACUAUAAAAUUUGGAAGCCAAACGAAAUUGAGGGUCUUAAUAACGCAAAUUCAUUUCAAAGAUAAAAGAGAAAUCACUGCGCCUAUUGUUAAUGUAACCAUUUACUACACCGAGGGAGU
Long non-coding RNA from Saccostrea cuccullata (small rock oyster), 224 nucleotides. RefSeq lists it as uncharacterized. The record is from RefSeq and is a predicted model, not a curated record. The transcript has 3 exons. Lineage: Eukaryota; Metazoa; Mollusca; Bivalvia; Ostreida; Ostreidae.